Molecule: ribosomal RNA, 529 nt
Filed under: uncultured earthworm cast bacterium
Lineage: Bacteria
Description: bacterial SSU rRNA
Rfam family: Bacterial small subunit ribosomal RNA
Source: RNAcentral
AGGCUUAACACAUGCAAGUCGAGGGGUAUAGGUUUUCGGACCUAGAGACCGGCGCACGGGUGCGUAACGCGUAUGCAAUCUACCUUUUACAGAGGGAUAGCCCAGAGAAAUUUGGAUUAAUACCUCAUAGUAUUAUUGAAUGGCAUCAUUUAAUAAUUAAAGUCACAACGGUAAAAGAUGAGCAUGCGUCCCAUUAGCUUGUUGGUAAGGUAACGGCUUACCAAGGCAACGAUGGGUAGGGGUCCUGAGAGGGAGAUCCCCCACACUGGUACUGAGACACGGACCAGACUCCUACGGGAGGCAGCAGUGAGGAAUAUUGGUCAAUGGGCGCAAGCCUGAACCAGCCAUGCCGCGUGCAGGAUGACGGUCCUAUGGAUUGUAAACUGCUUUUGUACAGGAAGAAACAGUUCUACCGUGUAGAACCUUGACGGUACUGUAAGAAUAAGGAUCGGCUAACUCCGUGCCAGCAGCCGCGGUAAUACGGAGGAUCCAAGCGUUAUCCGGAAUCAUUGGGUUUAAAGGGUCCGUA